This 467-nucleotide ribosomal RNA is filed under the name uncultured bacterium. Its description in RNAcentral is "bacterial SSU rRNA". It matches the Rfam family "Bacterial small subunit ribosomal RNA", at positions 330 to 795 of the family's 1533-position model. The record is from RNAcentral.
UCCAGACUCCUACGGGAGGCAGCAGUGAGGAAUAUUGGUCAAUGGGCGUAAGCCUGAACCAGCCAAGUCGCGUGAGGGACGACGGCCCUACGGGUUGUAAACCUCUUUUGCCGGGGGACAAACGGCGGCACGCGUGCCGUCCUGAGGGUACCCGGAGAAAAAGCAUCGGCUAACUCCGUGCCAGCAGCCGCGGUAAUACGGAGGAUGCGAGCGUUAUCCGGAUUUAUUGGGUUUAAAGGGUGCGUAGGCGGGAUGCCAAGUCAGCGGUCAAAUACGGGGGCUCAACCCCGCCCAGCCGUCGGAACUGCCGGGCUAGAGUGGGCGAGAAGUGCGCGGAAUGCGUGGUGUAGCGGUGAAAUGCAUAGAUAUCACGCAGAACUCCGAUUGCGAAGGCAGCGCACCGGCGCCCUACUGACGCUCAGGCACGAAAGCGUGGGUAUCGAACAGGAUUAGAUACCCGUGUACAC